GGGAAUCUGCCUUUAGGUAAGGAAUAACUCAGGGAAACUUGAGCUAACACCUUAUAAUGUCUUCGGACCAAAUAUUUAUAGCCUAAAGAUGAGCCCGCGGUAGAUUAGCUAGUUGGUGGGGUAAUGGCCUACCAAGGCGACGAUCUAUAGCUGGUCUUAGAGGAUGAUCAGCCACACUGGGACUGAGACACGGCCCAGACUCCUACGGGAGGCAGCAGUGGGGAAUAUUGGGCAAUGGGCGAAAGCCUGACCCAGCUAUGCCGCGUGAAUGAUGAAGGCCUUAGGGUUGUAAAGUUCUUUUAGAUGGGAAGAUAAUGACGGUACCAUCAGAAAAAGCUCCGGCUAACUUCGUGCCAGCAGCCGCGGUAAUACGAAGGGAGCAAGCGUUGCUCGGAUUUAUUGGGCGUAAAGGGUGUGUAGGCGGUUUGAUAAGUUAGAUGUGAAAGCCCCGGGCUCAACCCGGGAAUUGCAUUUAAGACUGUUGAACUUGAAGUUUGGAGAGGUUAGCAGAAUUCCCAGU
Molecule: ribosomal RNA, 520 nt
Filed under: uncultured bacterium
Lineage: Bacteria
Description: bacterial SSU rRNA
Rfam family: Bacterial small subunit ribosomal RNA
Source: RNAcentral